This is a long non-coding RNA of Temnothorax curvispinosus, 564 nucleotides long. RefSeq lists it as uncharacterized. The record is from RefSeq and is a predicted model, not a curated record. The transcript is spliced from 3 exons. Lineage: Eukaryota; Metazoa; Arthropoda; Insecta; Hymenoptera; Formicidae.
CUCUCAUGAAACGCGAAGGGGUACUCGGUCAGAAGACGACAAAGGACGGGAAGCGGGAAGCAGGGAACAGAAGAAUGAAUAAGAAGGAAAACAGUGCUCGCUCACGUAGACGCCAGAACGUGUGUUUCGAAAUGCGAGAGGAUGCCAACCGAGACGAGAUCAAAAGUCUUUCGUCCGUGACAUCAAAAUCUAAAUUUCAAGAUUGUAUAUAGCUCCGGCUCGUAACGAGGGAGUUCAAAUUCCGAAAACGAGACGUCGCCGUAUAAUUUCAAUCGCGUCAUCGACUGGACGACAUCGCGCGAUGUCCUCCCGCUCCCGGCCCUCCUCGUAGACACCCCCAAUGGAUCGCGCUUAAAUCUGGAGUAAGUGCGCGGCCGCCGUGGAGCGCACUUUUUGUGCUUGAGCUUGAGCUUGCGGCGGGAAGGCUCUGCGCAACGACGCGAGGAAAAUAAUUUUCCGGUGAGGAGGCCCGAGACAAGAGAGAGAGAGAGAGAGACCUGAGUUACGCGGAUCCGCCAUGCCUGGACGCCCACUCUGGCAGGUAAGUGACGCGUCAUUUCUCGA